GGAGUUAGCCGGUGCUUCUUCUGCGAGUAACGUCACAGAUGUAAGGUAUUAACUUACACCCUUUCCUCCUCGCUGAAAGUGCUUUACAACCCGAAGGCCUUCUUCACACACGCGGCAUGGCUGCAUCAGGGUUUCCCCCAUUGUGCAAUAUUCCCCACUGCUGCCUCCCGUAGGAGUCUGGGCCGUGUCUCAGUCCCAGUGUGGCUGAUCAUCCUCUCAGACCAUCUAGGGAUCGUCGCCUAGGUGAGCCUUUACCUCACCUACUAGCUAAUCCCACCUGGGCUUAUCCAUCAGCGCAAGGCCCGAAGGUCCCCUGCUUUCCCCCGUAGGGCGUAUGCGGUAUUAGCAGUCGUUUCCAACUGUUAUCCCCCACAAAUGGGCAAAUUCCCAGGCAUUACUCACCCGUCCGCCGCUCGUCAUCUUCAAAAGCAAGCUUUUGAAAUGUUACCGCUCGACUUGCAUGUGUUAGGCCUGCCGCCAGCGUUCAAUCUGAGCCAUAAUCAAACUCUGA
RNAcentral lists this ribosomal RNA (511 nucleotides) under uncultured bacterium. Its description in RNAcentral is "partial 16S ribosomal RNA". The record is from RNAcentral.